AUGCAUCAUGUAUUCAUAUGUGGCCAAGGUGUCCUAGAAACCAGAGUCCACAUCUUCUUCCACUGUGACUUUCCCAAGGUUUGCUGGUCAUAUAUUUGUGGUCAAUGGAAUCCUCCAACCGGGGUAGGACAGCUUCAAAAUGUUACUGAGCAUUUUGGAAACCAUUCGGUUGUGCCUUUCUUCUUGGAGAUCUUCAUAACCUUUGCUUGGGCAAUUUGGACAACAAGGAAUGACUUCAUUUUCAAUGGAAUUCAGCCAAGCUUAUACAAUUGCAUGAGAAAAUUUAAGGAGAAAAUUAAUUGGCUGCUCUUAAGGACCACAAGGAAAAGAUAUCAUCAGUUUGAAGCGCGUUAA
Molecule: ribosomal RNA, 354 nt
Filed under: Triticum aestivum (bread wheat)
Lineage: Eukaryota; Viridiplantae; Streptophyta; Magnoliopsida; Poales; Poaceae
Description: partial small subunit ribosomal RNA
Source: RNAcentral